This 75-nucleotide transfer RNA is filed under the name Acidiferrobacterales bacterium. RNAcentral's name for it is "tRNA-Glu". It matches the Rfam family "tRNA". Rfam says of the family: Transfer RNA (tRNA) molecules are approximately 80 nucleotides in length. Their secondary structure includes four short double-helical elements and three loops (D, anti-codon, and T loops). RNAcentral also lists the same sequence under 1 other name. Lineage: Bacteria; Pseudomonadati; Pseudomonadota; Gammaproteobacteria; Acidiferrobacterales. The record is from RNAcentral.
GCUCCCUUCGUCUAGCGGUCAGGACAUCGGCCUCUCAAGCCGGGAACAGGGGUUCGAUUCCCCUAGGGAGCGCCA